RNAcentral lists this ribosomal RNA (254 nucleotides) under uncultured bacterium. RNAcentral's name for it is "partial 16S ribosomal RNA". It matches the Rfam family "Bacterial small subunit ribosomal RNA", at positions 524 to 776 of the family's 1533-position model. The record is from RNAcentral.
CACGUAGGGUCCAAGCGUUGUCCGGAUUUAUUGGGCGUAAAGAGCUCGUAGGCGGCUUGGUAAGUCGAGUGUGAAAACUCUGGGCUCAACUCAGAGACGCCACUCGAUACUGCCAUGGCUUGAGUCCGGUAGGGGAGUGUGGAAUUCCCGGUGUAGCGGUGAAAUGCGCAGAUAUCAGGAAGAACACCCGUGGCCAAGGCGGCUCUCUGGGACGGUACUGACGCCGAGGAGCGAAAGCGUGGGGAGCGAACAGG